CCUACGGGAGGCAGCAGUGGGGAAUUUUGGACAAUGGGCGAAAGCCUGAUCCAGCAAUGCCGCGUGUGUGAAGAAGGCCUUCGGGUUGUAAAGCACUUUUGUCCGGAAAGAAAUCCUUGGCUCUAAUACAGUGGGGGAUGACGGUACCAGGAGAAUAAGCCCG
This 163-nucleotide ribosomal RNA is filed under the name uncultured bacterium BG1. RNAcentral's name for it is "partial 16S ribosomal RNA". It matches the Rfam family "Bacterial small subunit ribosomal RNA", at positions 338 to 494 of the family's 1533-position model. The record is from RNAcentral.